Molecule: long non-coding RNA, 559 nt
Organism: Myotis brandtii (Brandt's bat)
Lineage: Eukaryota; Metazoa; Chordata; Mammalia; Chiroptera; Vespertilionidae
Exons: 4
Source: RefSeq, a predicted model, not a curated record
GCAGCUUCUGUGGACAGGGCAGGAGGUGUGCUAGGUGACAAUCUGGGCGGAUGCUCCCUCUGAGACAGGAAAACUGGAGCAGAGAGGACCAAGGCAGCCUGAGCCAGAGGCGCCUCUCCAUCACUGGCCAGGAGGGAGCAACUGCUCCAUUUCUUUGGCCCUCAGACCGCGGAGCCCCGGGUCACCAGCCUAAACCGCUUAAUGCGCAUCACGCCUGGGUCUCCUUGGAAAUGGCUGAAGCACUUAAAUGGGACGCCCAACCUUUGUCCUCCGCUCCAAAACCACAGAAACCCCCCAGUUCCUGUCCUCACAGCUGGAACUUCCUCUUCGCACUAAUUGGAAAAACAUCCUCUGGGGAAGGGGGCAUCUUCAUUGAGUGAAUCUUUGGUGAUGGCUAUAUCAACUGGAUCCUGGCUGGAGCAUUAGCAGCCCUUUUGCACAAUGAGGUGACUUUGGAAAUGAAGUCCAUGUUGCUGGAGACCGAAAUGCCAUACCAGCCCUGGAGUAACGUCAAAAGAGACAUAAGCCCUGACCGGUUUGGUUCAGUGGAUAGAGCACA